CACGUAGGGCGCAAGCGUUGUCCGGAAUUAUUGGGCGUAAAGAGCUCGUAGGCGGUCUGUUACGUCUGCUGUGAAAACCCUGGGCUUAACCCUGGGCUUGCAGUGGAUACGGGCAGACUAGAGGCAGGUAGGGGAGAAUGGAAUUCCCGGUGUAGCGGUGAAAUGCGCAGAUAUCGGGAGGAACACCGGUGGCGAAGGCGGUUCUCUGGGCCUGACCUGACGCUGAGGAGCGAAAGCGUGGGGAGCGAACAGG
Molecule: ribosomal RNA, 253 nt
Filed under: uncultured bacterium
Lineage: Bacteria
Description: partial 16S ribosomal RNA
Rfam family: Bacterial small subunit ribosomal RNA
Source: RNAcentral